UGAUAGCUCAGUCGGUAGAACAUGAGACUCUUAAUCUCAGGGCUGUGAGUUUGAGUCCAAUGUUUGGCAAAA
Molecule: non-coding RNA, 72 nt
Organism: Podarcis lilfordi (Lilford's wall lizard)
Lineage: Eukaryota; Metazoa; Chordata; Lepidosauria; Squamata; Lacertidae
Source: the annotation of a GenBank genome assembly